This 564-nucleotide long non-coding RNA is filed under the name Homo sapiens (human). RNAcentral's name for it is "HSALNT0352716". The record is from RNAcentral. Lineage: Eukaryota; Metazoa; Chordata; Mammalia; Primates; Hominidae.
CAGGUGUGGUCCUUAUUUCUAGUUUGGUGUCAUCAUUAUCAAUCAGGCCAUCAUCUAUUAAAUAGAUAUCCCAGAUGUUUUGUUAAGUGCUUUGCUUGCAUUAUCAAUUAAAAUUGUUACAACUGUGUAUUAUUAUUAUUAUUUCUAUCUUAUAGAUGGGGAGACUGUGGCUCAAUGAGGUCAAACAAUUUGCAGUCAGGGAGUAGGGAUGCUUUGAAUAUGGCCAUCAUCUCACUGGCUCACUGUGGGGGAGUGAUGCCAGGAGGACUUCUGUUCCACCAUCUUGCUGAUGUUACUCUCCCUCACUAAAACAUUGUGUGUGCAACUAGGGUCAUCUGGGCAGCUGGAACCCAUUCAAGAAACCACAUUGUUCCUGCUGUGACAAUUUCUCAGGCUUCCCUUGUUUUUGAUGACCUUGACAUUUAUGAGGAGAAACAUAUUGUUUUGGCACUCUCUUUUAGCUCUUUUGAAAUGCUUUCCAGAAAAGAAAGCAAGCAAUAAAGGUUACUUUGUCCCUGUGCCUCAGAUGGACUUAUUUACCAGUGAAGAUUAAACCCAAAGAAC